Molecule: ribosomal RNA, 468 nt
Filed under: uncultured bacterium
Lineage: Bacteria
Description: partial 16S ribosomal RNA
Rfam family: Bacterial small subunit ribosomal RNA
Source: RNAcentral
GACGAACGCUGGCGGCGUGCUUAACACAUGCAAGUCGAACGGAAAGGCCCUGCUUUUGUGGGGUGCUCGAGUGGCGAACGGGUGAGUAACACGUGAGUAACCUGCCCUUGACUUUGGGAUAACUUCAGGAAACUGGGGCUAAUACCGGAUAGGAGCUCCUGCUGCAUGGUGGGGGUUGGAAAGUUUCGGCGGUUGGGGAUGGACUCGCGGCUUAUCAGCUUGUUGGUGGGGUAGUGGCUUACCAAGGCUUUGACGGGUAGCCGGCCUGAGCGGGUGACCGGCCACAUUGGGACUGAGAUACGGGCCAGACUCCUACGGGAGGCAGCAGUGGGGAAUAUUGCACAAUGGGCGGAAGCCUGAUGCAGCAACGCCGCGUGCGGGAUGACGGCCUUCGGGUUGUAAACCGCUUUCGCCUGUGACGAAGCGUGAGUGACGGUAAUGGGUAAAGAAGCACCGGCUAACUACGUG